ACGAAGGGAGCUAGCGUUGUUCGGAAUUACUGGGCGUAAAGGGCGCGUAGGCGGUUUAACAAGUCAGGUGUGAAAGCCCUGGGCUCAACCCGGGAAUUGCGCUUGAUACUGUUAAGCUUGAAUUCGGUAGAGGUUGGUGGAAUUCCCAGUGUGGAGGUGAAAUGCGUAGAGAUUGGGAAGAGCACGCGUGGCGAAGGCGGCCAUCUGGUCCGACAUUGACGCUGAGGCGCGAAAGCGUGGGGAUCAAACAG
RNAcentral lists this ribosomal RNA (251 nucleotides) under uncultured prokaryote. RNAcentral's name for it is "partial 16S rRNA". It matches the Rfam family "Bacterial small subunit ribosomal RNA", at positions 525 to 775 of the family's 1533-position model. The record is from RNAcentral.